GGAGAGUUGUCCGAGCUGGCCGAAGGAGCACGACUGGAAAUCGUGUAUACCCCACAAAGGGUAUCAAGAGUUCAAAUCUCUUACUCUCCGCCA
RNAcentral lists this transfer RNA (93 nucleotides) under Clostridiaceae bacterium. RNAcentral describes it as "tRNA-Ser". It matches the Rfam family "tRNA". Rfam says of the family: Transfer RNA (tRNA) molecules are approximately 80 nucleotides in length. Their secondary structure includes four short double-helical elements and three loops (D, anti-codon, and T loops). Lineage: Bacteria; Bacillati; Bacillota; Clostridia; Eubacteriales; Clostridiaceae. The record is from RNAcentral.